GACAGAGGGUGCAAACGUUGCUCGGAAUUACUGGGCGUAAAGAGCUCGUAGGUGGUUUGUCGCGUUGUUCGUGAAAACUCACAGCUCAACUGUGGGCGUGCGGGCGAUACGGGCAGACUGGAGUACUGCAGGGGAGACUGGAAUUCCUGGUGUAGCGGUGGAAUGCGCAGAUAUCAGGAGGAACACCGGUGGCGAAGGCGGGUCUCUGGGCAGUAACUGACGCUGAGGAGCGAAAGCGUGGGGAGCGAACAGG
Molecule: ribosomal RNA, 253 nt
Filed under: uncultured bacterium
Lineage: Bacteria
Description: partial 16S ribosomal RNA
Rfam family: Bacterial small subunit ribosomal RNA
Source: RNAcentral